RNAcentral lists this ribosomal RNA (253 nucleotides) under uncultured bacterium. RNAcentral's name for it is "partial 16S ribosomal RNA". It matches the Rfam family "Bacterial small subunit ribosomal RNA", at positions 524 to 776 of the family's 1533-position model. The record is from RNAcentral.
UACGGGGGGGGCAAGCGUUGUUCGGAAUUACUGGGCGUAAAGGGCUCGUAGGCGGCCAACUAAGUCAGACGUGAAAUCCCUCGGCUUAACCGGGGAACUGCAUCUGAUACUGGAUGGCUUGAGUUCGGGAGAGGGAUGCGGAAUUCCAGGUGUAGCGGUGAAAUGCGUAGAUAUGCGGAGGAACACCGAUGGCGAAGGCAAUCCCCUGGGCCUGCACUGACGCUCAUGCACGAAAGCGUGGGGAGCAAACAGG